Molecule: ribosomal RNA, 380 nt
Filed under: uncultured bacterium
Lineage: Bacteria
Description: bacterial SSU rRNA
Rfam family: Bacterial small subunit ribosomal RNA
Source: RNAcentral
AUUGAACGCUGGCGGCAGGCUUAACACAUGCAAGUUCGAGCGGAGAGAGGUAGCUUGCUACUGAUCUUAGCGGCGGACGGGUGAGUAAUACUUAGGAAUCUGGCUAUUAGUGGGGGACAACAUUUCGAAAGGGAUGCUAAUACCGCAUACGUCCUACGGGAGAAGGCAGGGGAUCUUCGGACCUUGCGCUAAUAGAUGAGCCUAAGUCGGAUUAGCUAGUUGGUGGGGUAAAGGCCUACCAAGGCGACGAUCUGUAGCGGGUCUGAGAGGAUGAUCCGCCACACUGGGACUGAGACACGGCCCAGACUCCUACGGGAGGCAGCAGUGGGGAAUAUUGGACAAUGGGGGGAACCCUGAUCCAGCCAUGCCGCGUGUGUGAA